CUUUUCAUUUUAAUUAGGUUUAUUUUUGUUUCGACAGCCAGUGCAUCCUACCUCGGGGAUCCUCGCUGUGUUCGUUGCUCUCAACUACUGUGAUGUGGUCCACAUUGCUGGUUUUGGAUACCCUAACACAAAGAGCCAAAGGCACCCUAUCCAUUACUACGGAUAUGACACCAUGAAGUCAAUGAAGAAUUCUUACCACGAUCUCAAUCAUGAAGCCGAUGCCUUAAAAAGACUGGAGGAUUCGGGUGCCAUUUUGUACCUGCACCCACAUCUAUGAUACACAUACCUUUUUCGAGUUUGAUUGAAUCCAAAAAUGUGACCGAACACCAAAACUUAUUUGCAUUUGGAUGGGUCAACCCACUCAGAUUCUAAUGUGCCUUUUUUGCUGUGGGAUACAAGACAUUUUUUACAUGUACUAAGUCAUCAUUAGGUGGCAAAAGUGUAAAAAUGUCGAGCUCAAAAGAAUGUUUAUAUCCCUGGCGCCUUAAAUUCUCUCAAACUAAGACACAUGAAAUGUGACUUUAUAAUGGUUUUCCUUCAAUUUGGUGACAUGGCUUAGCAUCUUGCAUUAUGUUUUAUGAUUGUAAUUCAACCUGGAUUUGAAUCGCACCAUUCAAAGUGAGUACGCAGGAGAACUAUUCAAAGUUGUCCUGCUUGUGCAAAGAGAAAUUACGCCUGAUUUAGAUUGGAUAAUCACUGUGCUUUGAUUGAGCUUUUAAGACCAUUUGAUACUGUGGGCUUCUAAUUUCCACGGACACAAGCGUUUUCGAUCUGCAGUUUACAUAUUUGUUGUUGUUUGCAAAGAUUAAUGCAUAUCAGUGAGUUCCAAACUAAUCAGACCGGUUUUUCAUUGUACACACUCACUGUGGUUUAGGAUUCAAUCUAAAAAAACAGCAUCUGUUUUAUGUUAAAGAGGUGUGUACAAAUCUACAGAAUUUCACUUUUGUUGUUAGUUUAAUUGAAAUGAAAAUGAAUUGACCCCAAGCCUGAUUUAAACAGGAUUUAAUUAAUCUUAUUUUUUGUAAUUCUUGGACUGGAAAUACUACUUGUAUUUUGCCGAUUUGGUAGCUUUUUGAUUGCAGGUGUCUGGGGCUUUAAGUUAUUCUAUCCUUUUUUGUGUUGCUUUUUUGUAGAAACAAAACCAAUAAAUGGUACCACUGGA
Notothenia coriiceps (black rockcod) is the source of this 1162-nucleotide long non-coding RNA. RefSeq lists it as uncharacterized. The transcript is spliced from 2 exons. Lineage: Eukaryota; Metazoa; Chordata; Actinopteri; Perciformes; Nototheniidae. The record is from RefSeq and is a predicted model, not a curated record.